This 558-nucleotide ribosomal RNA is filed under the name Salmonella enterica. RNAcentral's name for it is "partial 23S ribosomal RNA". It matches the Rfam family "Bacterial large subunit ribosomal RNA", at positions 1 to 591 of the family's 2925-position model. The record is from RNAcentral. Lineage: Bacteria; Pseudomonadati; Pseudomonadota; Gammaproteobacteria; Enterobacterales; Enterobacteriaceae.
GGGUUGUGAGGUUAAGCGACUAAGCGUACACGGUGGAUGCCCUGGCAGUCAGAGGCGAUGAAGGGCGUGCUAAUCUGCGAUAAGCGCCGGUAAGGUGAUAUGAACCGUUAUAACCGGCGAUACCCGAAUGGGGAAACCCAGUGUGAUUCGUCACACUAUCAUUAACUGAAUCCAUAGGUUAAUGAGGCGAACCGGGGGAACUGAAACAUCUAAGUACCCCGAGGAAAAGAAAUCAACCGAGAUUCCCCCAGUAGCGGCGAGCGAACGGGGAGGAGCCCAGAGCCUGAAUCAGCAUGUGUGUUAGUGGAAGCGUCUGGAAAGGCGCGCGAUACAGGGUGACAGCCCCGUACACAAAAGCGUAUGUGCUGUGAGCUCGAUGAGUAGGGCGGGACACGUGGUAUCCUGUCUGAAUAUGGGGGGACCAUCCUCCAAGGCUAAAUACUCCUGACUGACCGAUAGUGAACCAGUACCGUGAGGGAAAGGCGAAAAGAACCCCGGCGAGGGGAGUGAAAAAGAACCUGAAACCGUGUACGUACAAGCAGUGGGAGCACCCUUCGG